Molecule: ribosomal RNA, 429 nt
Filed under: bacterium
Lineage: Bacteria
Description: partial 16S ribosomal RNA
Rfam family: Bacterial small subunit ribosomal RNA
Source: RNAcentral
UGGGGAAUCUUCCGCAAUGGACGAAAGUCUGACGGAGCAACGCCGCGUGAGUGAUGACGGCCUUCGGGUUGUAAAGCUCUGUUAAUCGGGACGAAUGGUUCUUGUGCGAAUAGUGCAAGGAUUUGACGGUACCGGAAUAGAAAGCCACGGCUAACUACGUGCCAGCAGCCGCGGUAAUACGUAGGUGGCAAGCGUUGUCCGGAAUUAUUGGGCGUAAAGCGCGCGCAGGCGGAUUGGUCAGUCUGUCUUAAAAGUUCGGGGCUUAACCCCGUGAUGGGAUGGAAACUGCCAAUCUAGAGUAUCGGAGAGGAAAGUGGAAUUCCUAGUGUAGCGGUGAAAUGCGUUGAUAUUAGGAAGAACACCAGUGGCGAAGGCGACUUUCUGGACGAAAACUGACGCUGAGGCGCGAAAGCCAGGGGAGCGAACGGG